CACCGCCCUGGGGCUGCGUCCCGCGGCCGCCCCGCCCCGCCGAGCCCGGCGGCGCUGCGGGGGAAGCACCGCCCUGUACGAGGCCGAGUCGUGGGCUGAGCCUGGGGCUGAGCUGGGCCUAACCUGGGACAGAGCCUGAGGCUCCAGCGCCCGGGUUUUGCGGCUUGGCUGGCGUCGUGUUCCCGCGGCGGAAUCGCCAGCCGCUCCCUCGGGGUUAAAGGGCAAACAGCCAUUUUGUCUGCUGGAUAGAGAUGUCGUAGGGGAGCGGUCGGGCUGAUUUUUUGGCGUUCGUAGCAGAAGGAGAACGCUAAGUGAAAUUAGCUGUACAAAAUUGGUGUUUUAAAGCUAUUGAGCAAGAGACAAAAUUAACAUCAACAGCAGGUGGCAGUGCUAGCAAGAGCAGUGGUUCUGAUGUGAGUUGUUGGCUGGUGGUUUGUGUAGUUUCAGCUCUUCCGCAAAAGCAGUAGAGUGCCAGGAUCCUGUGUGCAGAGAGAACAAGACCAGCUCCCACUGAUGACUGACCCCUGGAACACCCCUCAAGCAUUGUUGUGAGGUUCAAGUAGAAGCCUGCUGUAUGUUGAUGAAGUUCACCCACUGUGCUUCUUAGAAGAGAAAAUUAGUGAAAUUGGUAAAAAAAAUCAAAGAAGAAAACCUGUAAAGUUCCCAUGCUGUGCCUGUGACACUCACUCUUUACACCUCACCUCCUAAUUCUCUGACACAGAGAUUGACUGGAACACAUUCCCAGCACAGCUCUACAAUAUGUCUCUGGCUUUCAACUCUCUCUGAAGAGAAUGGUACCAGGUUACUGCACUGGUAGCCAGGUCUGUAUGUCUUAGAGAGAAAUCCAGGCUCAGAGAAGGUUGACUGAAGGUAUGUUUCCAAGGCACCAGGCUGGCAGGAUGGUUGUAUCCAUCAGUUGCCCUGUCUAACCUGAAGGCAUACCCAUCAUAUGAGUACACAUAUAUACACAUAUGUCUUGUGGCUGUGAAAAACCACAUGCCUUUCCUGCAGCUUUGCAGAUUGCAUUCUUGUACAUCAGUAUUCAGGUAAGUUGGAAAGCUUUCGCAAGCAUGAAGUGGAACUCGAAAGUAAGUCAAUCUCUUGAAAAGGGCUUUAAAGCAUACUUUGUUUUUUAGGAGUUUUUUUAUUCUUUGGAACAAAAAGUGUGCUGAAUUGUUUUCAGGCAUAUAGGGGUAUAAUUUGUGAGUACAAAGAAAUGCAAGCAAGUUUGUUGACUUAUUGCCGUAGUGAGACAAGUAAUAAUUUUAAUUAGAUUGUAAUGAAAAUUGUUGUGUCAUGUUCCUCCCCCCCUCCCCUAGCGAAUUCAUUAUCUGAUUAGUCAAAAGGGAUAAAUAAUUCCUUUACAUUUGCAUUCCUUUUUGUCAAGCAGUAUGGAUUUUUCCUUCAUAUAUACAAAGAAAUGAAACUGGCUAAUAAUGAAAUCAUUGAGCAUCCUUAGCUAUAAAAAGAACCUUUUAAAUCCAGAACUAGAGGAGGGUUCUGCACACAAAGCAAUCUGCACACAAAACAAUCUGAAUUUCCUAUCAGAGUAACAGAAAUGAGGUGGUCCAAAUACACCUCAUUGGUUCCUUCCCAUUUCUGAUGGCCUUGAAGCAGGCUUAUGCUCUUUGAUACUGGCUUUCCUAUGCUUAUUUUUGUCUAUAGAGGCCUUUUUCUAUCCAGGAGAAGGAUAUUUGCUUCUAUAUACACACCCAUUCCAUCCUGCAGGGUGGGUGAUGUGGCAGUAUCCCAUGGGAGGAGAGGCGGGAUUCAGAAGAUCUGUACAAGAACGUUUUUUAUACAUUCUAGAAUGCAUUUGCAUUUAAGUAUUUAAUCUACAGAGAAUUUUGUGUCUGUAAGCUUUGUCUCCUCCCUUUCUGAAGAGAGUUCUAGAAGAAAAAACUAUAAAUUGAAAAGGAAAUCAGUUGCCCCAUACUCACUAGUCCUUUCAUAAACCCUACUUAUGCUUUUUUAUUAUUUUUUUUUAUUAUGUAUUGGCCAAGUAUUAAAGCACAUCUUUAGUCCAAGCCAAUUUGGAGGGUGUUGGUACAAGGCCACCCCAAAGCAAGUAAUCUCUGAUUUGUAGUAAAGCCAGGUUGUGACUGAUAGUUUUAAAUACAGUGAAGAUCUUGGAGGAGGCAAAACACUUGACUUGAUGUUCAGCUUGAGAAGACUUGCUUAUGGCUUGAACUAAGAUCAAGAAGAAACAGCAGAUGUUAGAGGGGCGAUUACCAUUGUAAUAGAAUCAUUCAGGCAAUCCUAUUUAAUUUGAUUUAUUUUGUUUUCUGUUAUACUCUCAGACACCUUUCAGACAUAUGAUUCUUUUUGUUUGGAGUCUAAUCCGUACUUCAUUAAAUCUAAUCCACUUGUAUUUGAAUAGUUCUGGACAUUUUUUUGCAUUGAUAUAUGUCAUUGGGAUGUAAGAAACUUCAAAAAACUCUUGUCAUCAAGCACAGACCUUUGUUAUUACAGCUGAGCACAUCUUAGAAUCCUGUUCAUCAGCUUAUCCAACUGUAAUUUAAAAACAAACUUAUUUGUUCUCCUGCAUCUGUAGGGUCUAAAUUUGACUCUUCUGAAGGUCAGAGAGGGUAUGAACUGGAGAAUCUGUCCUUUUACCUGAUGUGAAACUAGUGCUAAACAUAACAUCAGUCUUAGAAUAUAUAUGUUUCCACAGAUAGAUAAAUAAGAUUUGAUUAAGAAUUUUUAAAAUUAAUUUGGAUAAUUUGCUUUUUUUCUGAACCUCUGGGAUUCUGUAUAUGACACCUUUUUCUAAGAUAGAGGCAACAUCUUAGUGGCUUUUUCUUUCCCUCUGCUGACUUCUGGUUCACCGAUACACCUUCCCUCAUAGCAAUUUAAAGCACUGCCAACGAAAGAUGCUUUACCAUGUGUUGAAUCUGUCAAGCUUUUAACUAGUUUCUCCUCAGGUGUCCACUGAAGAUGAAGCAGGUUUUGAACAAAUGUGUCUUGGGGACUAUUGGUUAGCUAAUUUUUCAUCUGAGUUUCCAGCUGCACCAGCAACCUGAGUAAGGAAAAAAAGAAUGAUAUUUUCAAGACAAAUUCUCACUGAAGUAGAAUAAGCAAUGCAGCGUUUGCUAUUUGUCUUUUGAGAUAAAUUUAACCACUUACCUUUGCCUGUUGCUUUGUUUUCUCUGUGUAAGUCACCAGCAGUGCAAAAUUUGACUGAAAAUACAGGAAGAGAUCUUUUGAGCACAUUUUCCUCGUACUUCCUAGAAAUUUAUGCUGACUGCUAUUUCUGCCAUAGGGAAUUUCUAAUUUUGAAGCAGUCUUGGGGCAAAAGUGAUUCAUAAUGAGUUGGCAGUGUCUAAUAAACUUAUAAGUAGUUAUGUAUCAUUAUGAGAUAAUAAAGUAAUCAAAUAAUGUGUUUCCAAUGCUGCCAGUAAGAAGCUGCACUAGAAGCCAGGAGGGAGCAUGGCCAGGGCAGGUGAUCUGAACUGGCCGAAGUGGUAUGCCAUUCCACAGAACAUCAUGCUCAGUACAUAGAGUAGAAGUCCUGAUUGCUGCGCAGCGACAGGCUGAAAAUCAGUUGACAGGUGGUGAGCAGUUGUAUUGUGCAUAAAUUUGGUUUCUUGGAUUUUAAUCCCAUUAUUAUUAUUAUUAUUAUUAUUAUUAUUACUAUUAUUAUUAUUAUUACUAUUAUUAUUAUUGUUAAUUAUCCUUAUAUUAUGGUCUUAAUUUUUUCUUUUAUUUCAGUUAUUAAUCUGUUCUUAUGUCAAUCCACCAGUUUUACCUUUUUCUAAUUCUCCUUGCUAUCCAGAGUUGGUUGGUGGUGGGAAGGGAAGUGGGCAAGCGAUUACAUGGUAAUUAGUUGUCCACUGGGGUUUAACCACUGCACGUACUAGUGCCUCCAGGUGAGGCUCUUUUUCAGUAUUAUUAAAUCAACAUUUUCUUACAGUGCCCACUAAAUUGGCUAAAGAAUUCCAGCAAAUAACACACAUCAAAGUCCAGGGAACACUUGACAUGAAGAUUUUAAGUGAGAG
Corapipo altera (White-ruffed manakin) is the source of this 3998-nucleotide long non-coding RNA. RefSeq lists it as uncharacterized. The transcript is spliced from 4 exons. Lineage: Eukaryota; Metazoa; Chordata; Aves; Passeriformes; Pipridae. The record is from RefSeq and is a predicted model, not a curated record.